Molecule: ribosomal RNA, 481 nt
Filed under: uncultured bacterium
Lineage: Bacteria
Description: partial 16S ribosomal RNA
Rfam family: Bacterial small subunit ribosomal RNA
Source: RNAcentral
GAUGAACGCUGGCGGCGUGCCUAACACAUGCGAGUCGAACGGAGAUUACGGACGGAAGUUUUCGGAUGGAAGACUGUAAUUCUUAGUGGCGGACGGGUGAGUAACGCGUGGGCAACCUGCCCUAUACAGGGGGAUAGCAGCUGGAAACGGCUGGUAAGACCGCAUAAGUCGGUUAAAUCGCAUGAUUUGAUCGGGGAAUGAGCAAUCAGGUAUAGGAUGGGCCCGCGUCCGAUUAGCCAGUUGGCAGGGUAAAAGCCUACCAAAGCGACGAUCGGUAGCCGGACUGAGAGGUCGGACGGCCACAUUGGGACUGAGACACGGCCCAAACUCCUACGGGAGGCAGCAGUGGGGGAUAUUGCACAAUGGAGGAAACUCUGAUGCAGCGACGCCGCGUGAGUGAAGAAGUAUUUCGGUAUGCAAAGCUCUAUCAGCAGGGAAGAUGAUGACGGUACCUGACUAAGAAGCCCCGGCUAACUACGUG